AUGUCUACCGCCAGCAUUGAGGACGACGACCAUCAGGCUGUCAGCGACGACGAAGAGGAGGAUGAAGACCUAGAGAAAUACCAACCUUUUACCGUUGAUGAUUUCCCAAGGGUUAGUAGUGAGUUUGAUGAGCAAUCUGAUGAUGUGUUCCAAAAUCCUGAUAUUCAACUUCGAGGCCCUUCAGCAAUGUUUCUUUUCCAGACAUUCAACGAUCCCCUUAUUGAAAAACACAAGCAUUUCUUCGGUAGCCAAUAUCAACUCUAUGAUGAGUCUGAAGUCAAUGUGAACAACAAUGUUAGGGCCAUUGAUUGCUCACACGGUUGCCAUUGUGUACCGAGCGGCGUGCUGCAGUUCAUUGAUCUCAAAAUUGCUGGUUAUCGCCACGUCCAACCUAGAUGUGCCAAUAUAUUUGGUUUUUUCGCAGUACGUGAGAAUGCUGAACCUUUGCGCAACUAUGUGUACAGGCGUGGGAUUAACAAUUAUGAAGCUGUAAAUGUGAAGCGGGAUACGGGCAUUGCACAUUUAUCGCUGACUAGCCCUGCUCGAUGUAUUCACAUGAGAAGCCGUGUGUUGUUUGAAUUCAAGCUUUCUGUACGGACUGAUGACCAGCCAGAAGAUGGGCCAAAAGAUGACAUUCUGAUUGAAGGAUGUACCGAGUUUACUGAGUUCAUGAACAUGUACAAAGCAGGACCAUUCAUCGAAACUCGGCGUCUGUACGGGGAGAAGUGUGGAUUGGAUAUGAAGUUUCUGGUGUUGAGGAAUGCAGUUCAAGCAAAGGUUGAUGUUGAGAUACUUCGUGCUCCUGUUGAUGGCCUUAAUCUGAAUCUUUAUGCGAAGACCAGUGGCUUCAGAGAUGUGAUCUGCCUCUUUUCUGGAGUUACAGAAUCAGGUUGCAGAAUGAGUUCGGUCGUAGGAGUGAUGAGAUACAGUUACCUUAUUCUUUGUAUCUCGCUGUAUUUUUCUGGAUGCCAGCUUCAGGCUUUUCACCUAGUCUCUAACUCUAAAGUCUUUGUAUUUGUUCCUCUCCUGAUUAAUCAAUGA
Molecule: ribosomal RNA, 1041 nt
Filed under: Triticum aestivum (bread wheat)
Lineage: Eukaryota; Viridiplantae; Streptophyta; Magnoliopsida; Poales; Poaceae
Description: partial small subunit ribosomal RNA
Source: RNAcentral